Molecule: long non-coding RNA, 773 nt
Filed under: Manihot esculenta (cassava)
Lineage: Eukaryota; Viridiplantae; Streptophyta; Magnoliopsida; Malpighiales; Euphorbiaceae
Description: long non-coding RNA (MESC_LNC011651)
Source: RNAcentral
UCCAUCAAAAUUACAGAACCCACGGUGGAAAAUCAGUUGAACACCGGAAUAGCAGAACCAGUUCAGGCAUUAUUGCAGCAAUAUGAGACCAUUUUCGCAACACCUACGGCUCUGCCUCCGGAAAGAUCACAUGACCAUGCUAUUAAUCUCCUGCCCAACACAAAACCUGUUAACAUAAGACCUUAUCACCACAACUAUUUUCAGAAAACGGAAAUAGAAAAACAGGUAAAAGAAAUGCUCAACACUGGAGUGAUUCAAUGUAGUCACAGUCCUUUCGCUUCUCCAGUCCUGUUAGUUAAGAAGAAAGAUGGAACUUGGCGUUUUUGCGUGGAUUAUAGACAAUUGAAUGAGAUGACAGUCAAAGAUAAAUUUCCAAUACCUGUCAUAGAUGAUCUACUGGAUGAAUUAAAUGGAGCAAGAUUCUUCAGCAAAAUCGACUUGCGAGCCGGUUACCAUCAAAUUCGAGUAAGAGUGGAAGAUGUUUACAAAACAGCAUUCCGAACUCAUCAUGGGCACUACGAAUUUAAGGUAAUGCCUUUCGGCUUGACUAAUGCUCCUGCUACCUUCCAAUCCUUGAUGAACCAAAUCUUUGGGCCUUAUUUGAGGCAGUUUAUUCUAGUCUUCUUCGAUGAUAUUUUGAUAUAUAGCAGAACUCUUGAGGAGCACUUAAACCAUCUAAAGAAAGUCUUUGACAUACUUAGUGAACACAAGUUGUUUGCCAAACAGUCAAAAUGUUCCUUUGCUCAGACUAGAGUUGAAUACUUGGGUCAUGU